GAUGAACGCUGGCGGCGUGCCUAAUACAUGCAAGUCGAGCGAACGGACGAGAAGCUUGCUUCUCUGAUGUUAGCGGCGGACGGGUGAGUAACACGUGGAUAACCUACCUAUAAGACUGGGAUAACUUCGGGAAACCGGAGCUAAUACCGGAGGAUAUUUUGAACCGCAUGGUUCAAAAGUGAAAGACGGUCUUGCUGUCACUUAUAGAUGGAUCCGCGCUGCAUUAGCUAGUUGGUAAGGUAACGGCUUACCAAGGCAACGAUGCAUAGCCGACCUGAGAGGGUGAUCGGCCACACUGGAACUGAGACACGGUCCAGACUCCUACGGGAGGCAGCAGUCGGGAAUCUUCCGCAAUGGGCGAAAGCCUGACGGAGCAACGCCGCGUGAGUGAUGAAGGUCUUCGGAUCGUAAAACUCUGUUAUUAGGGAAGAACAUAUGUGUAAGUAACUGUGCACAUCUUGACGGUACCUAAUCAGAAAGCCACGGCUAACUACGUG
RNAcentral lists this ribosomal RNA (497 nucleotides) under uncultured bacterium. RNAcentral's name for it is "partial 16S ribosomal RNA". It matches the Rfam family "Bacterial small subunit ribosomal RNA", at positions 28 to 507 of the family's 1533-position model. The record is from RNAcentral.